This 67-nucleotide transfer RNA is filed under the name Agriotes fuscicollis. RNAcentral's name for it is "tRNA-Met". The record is from RNAcentral. Lineage: Eukaryota; Metazoa; Arthropoda; Insecta; Coleoptera; Elateridae.
AAAAAGAUAAGCUAAGUUAAGCUUUUGGGUUCAUACCCCAAAUAUAAAGGCAAUCCUUUUCUUUUUA